RNAcentral lists this unclassified non-coding RNA (329 nucleotides) under soil metagenome. Its description in RNAcentral is "partial contains 5.8S ribosomal RNA, internal transcribed spacer 2, and large subunit ribosomal RNA". The stretch from base 1 to 120 matches the Rfam family "5.8S ribosomal RNA", at positions 35 to 154 of the family's 154-position model. The record is from RNAcentral.
GAUGAAGAACGCAGUGAAAUGCGAUAAGUAGUGUGAAUUGCAGAAUUCAGUGAAUCAUCGAAUCUUUGAACGCACAUUGCGCCCCUUGGUAUCCCGAGGGGCAUGCCUGUUCGAGCGUCAUUUCACCACUCAAGCCUGGCUUGGUGUUGGGCGACGUCCCCUUUGGGGACGCGCCUCGAAACGCUCGGCGGCGUGGCACCGGCUUUAAGCGUAGCAGAAUCUUUCGCUUUGGAAGUCGGGGCCCCGUCUGCCGGAAGACCUACUCGCAAGGUUGACCUCGGAUCAGGCAGGGAUACCCGCUGAACUUAAGCAUAUCAAUAAGCGGAGGA